AAGGUGUCAUAGAGAAAAAGUUACAGGUCAGUGGCAGAGCCGUUGCUUUGUGUGGCAUCACAAAUCCAACUCCUAGCAUCUCGUAGAGAAAAGGCUCCUGGACAUCAGGAGUGACUUUUUGUCAGCCUUUCUGGUGAAGUCACCAAAGCAAGGCAAGUUCAUGUAUCUGUCAGGAAGUCUGGUGAAUAUGUCUGUUUCUUAGGGCUUUAUUCUGGUCUGGACUGGGAAAGUGUUUCUGCCUAUAGGAGGGCAGAAUAGAUUGAAAAGUACUAAACUCUUGCCCUUUUUCUGAUGUUUAAUCACCACAGACUUGGCAUUUGUGCCGUUGUUCAAUCCUGGAAUGUAUAAAGGGUGCUUCUGAGCAUAUGCAAAAAACACUCAAGACUUAGCUCUUGCAAGCAAUGCGAGACUAGAGGAGAAGGUGCAUUUUCCAUACUGGUUAGAAUUUCAGAGCUUACAUAGGUCCCCUAAGAUGUUGACUAAGCUUAUAGUACAAUCCAUGUUAUUGUAAGUGCCAUAGAAAGUGACUGUGUUUAUAAAAUUAAUGUAGAACUGAUUAGAAGUUAUAAUUUAGAAUGAUUUGGAAUGAAGACAUGCCCUUCAAUAAAUAUUGUGAUUACAGUGGUCAAAAUGUUUCUGUGCUGACAAUAUAAUAAUAGGAAUAAUAGGAAUGGGGACAGAGAUAUUUUUAAUUUCAGCCAUAUUGAUCAUUAUAAUAUCAAAAUGUAUGGCUGUUUAUUGUUAUGCAUAAUGUGUAAAGUAUAUAUUUGGUACUCUGUUAUGAUAUAAUUUCUAUACAUCAGAAGUAAAGUUCAUUUGAUAAUAAACACUGUUUGUUUGCUUCUUUAAAGAAAUAAUUUAUCUUUUAAUAAAAUCUUGUCCACUCAGUAUCCAAAUUCUUCCCUUCGCUGUUACCAGUUGAGGACUGUUCUCCUUUUAAAUGCAUUUUGAAUGGCCAGUCUGAUCUACUGGUUAAGAAAACCAUGAAUACUAGUCCUACCGAAGGCAGGAAAAUCGAUUGGGUGACUUCGGGCCAGUCAUUAUCUCUCAUCCCUCCAUGGUCAAGAUGACAUAGCUAAGAGGACUUCCCUUAAGUCUCUUCCCCAAAUCAUCUCUGUAAAGUAAACUGGGCUGACAGCAAUUACCUAAAGUGAAGUAGAAUACACGUUUCCUGGUGGAGUCAGAUUAGCUAUUUGCCAAAGCAAGACCUGCUGAUCUUGUCAUCUCCAGUUUUACUUCAUUCAUAGAAUGAUCUAACCUGAAAAUCUUAUACAUCCUCUUCCUUGAUUAGAAUUUAAAGAUCUGGAAAAAACAGAAAUUAGAGUUUCAGUCUUACCUCUUCACUCAUUCCCUUGCUGUAACCAAUGAAGCUAUGAAAGGAAAGUCUGGUUGCAUGACACAAGCAUAGUCAACAAAUUUGCCAUGCACGCCAUUUGAAAGAUCAAUCUACUUUGUCCUAUGGGAAUUAGCUGAGAGCGGAUCUAUAGACCCUUCUUUUAGAGGACGCGAAGAGUUUUUAGCUCUACUUUCUUUUCACUUUUUCUCAGAUGAAUUCUUCUUCUCAUCAUUCCCAUUGAAUUCUUCCCUUUCCAUCCUGAUUUUUUUUUUUAUCUAAAUAAAGAUAAGAAAAAGCAUUG
Non-coding RNA from Pantherophis guttatus, 1637 nucleotides. The record is from RefSeq and is a predicted model, not a curated record. Lineage: Eukaryota; Metazoa; Chordata; Lepidosauria; Squamata; Colubridae.